Cryptomeria japonica (Japanese cedar) is the source of this 264-nucleotide long non-coding RNA. RefSeq lists it as uncharacterized. The record is from RefSeq and is a predicted model, not a curated record. The transcript is spliced from 3 exons. Lineage: Eukaryota; Viridiplantae; Streptophyta; Pinopsida; Cupressales; Cupressaceae.
UCAAAAAAAUCAAGAAUAUAUGGUACCGAUUUCUGUUGAUCCUGAGAAGACAACAACAACAAUAGUUGAUGCCAUGCAAGCUAGAGAUGAUGGCCAACAAAACUCUCAAAAAAACAUGCAACCAUUUUCUAUUGAUCUUAAUCAAAUGAUGACAAUAAUGGACACAAUGCAAAGCGGAAACGGUGUUGAUGAUAUUCAUAUGGAGGAUCAUGAUCAACACUUUUUUGGUUAAUCACUAUAGUGUAUUAUUCUCCAAUGUAUUAA